RNAcentral lists this small RNA (74 nucleotides) under Salmonella enterica. RNAcentral's name for it is "partial RtT sRNA". It matches the Rfam family "RtT RNA", at positions 1 to 73 of the family's 130-position model. From Rfam's summary of the family: This family represents a bacterial cis-regulatory element known as RtT RNA. The exact function of RtT is unknown although it is thought that it may be involved in changing the cellular response in relation to amino acid starvation. Lineage: Bacteria; Pseudomonadati; Pseudomonadota; Gammaproteobacteria; Enterobacterales; Enterobacteriaceae. The record is from RNAcentral.
CAUAUCUCUCUUACGGGAAGGAUGAGAAGCUUCGACUAAGGUUCGAUUCGAGCGAAAGCGAGAAAGCGUUGCCG